CAAGUCUGUGUUCACAAUGUUUACACCCGAGAACUGACCUUCCACUUGCUCAUAAUAUCUGCUCGCCUGCAUUUCUUAAGGAGGAGGUGCGUUAUGACAGUUGCAGAGCACUGUGCAAGUGGAGGCAUUCCUGGAAAAGACAGACGAAUGGUUAAACAUGGGGCAGCAUGGAUCUCCAGGCUACUGGAGGUGUUAUGGAAGGAUCUAGAAUUGAAACUUAUGGAACACUGCCGGUCACAGGCCACAAGUCCAAAAAGCAAAAGGAUCCACUGGACAAACCCAAAAACUACAGCAUCCAAGACAGACAAAAUUAUGAGAUGAAUAUUGCAGUCUGACAAAGAUAAGACAUCUUACUUGAUGCCCCUUCCAUUGACAUAGUGAGCAGAAUAGCAAAACAUGGAAAAACAUGUGGAAAAUGUGGACUUCUACAUACAAUCAAGAGCUUUCCAGCAUUUCAUACUUUCUGUGAGGUGGGUGGCAAAAAUGAUUACUAGCAGCAGCAAUGCAAAACAACAAAGGCCAAAGGACCUCCCUGAAGUCAUGCAAAAACUCAGGCUGACAACAAACUGACAAUACCUUUGAGCAAUAACUGCCACUUUUCCUAAGGUUGUAAAUAAAAUGGGCAGUGAUGAUGUUAUAAGCUACAGUGAGCACAGUUGGACACUGCAUCAUCCUGAUGCAGAACAGACAAAUUCCUGAAUCAAUAUAACAUGCUUAAUGCAUGUUAUAUUGAUUAAGAUUAAACCAAGGCAUUGGUUGAGCUGCAAAAUGGCAUUUCUGGCAUCAAAUCAGCAUGGCGUACUCAUUGGCAUAAUGAUCGUUCUACCCUGCACAUUUCUGACAGAUGUUCUUUGCUUGUGCAUCAGCAGCUGUGUCAAAAUGGCAUCUGCCAAGCUUGAUGCCACAAGUGUGUGUAUGUAUCACAUGCACUUUAGAACACCUUCAUAGUGCCCAAAUGAUUAAUGCUACUUGCCCCAGUUUCUAGCCUCAUGGCUUUAUUCUGAGUUAUAUAGCCGCUAAUAUCUAUUAAAACACAAUGUGAGAUUACAUCCAAAACCCCAGCUGAUUUCAGUAAACUGUCUUAAUGUGUAUGGCUUGGGCAGCAUGCCUUGAGCUUGACAGUGUUUUACUGCUAGAGGGGAUGUUUGAUUUGAUCUCCACAAUUCAAGAGAAUUUGCCCUGGCAGGUAAAGAUUGAAUCAGACUUGCAGUGAAAAAAACACAAAGGAAAACAAUUCCUCAAACUGCCAUUUUUCAUCUUUAUGAGAGAGCU
Molecule: long non-coding RNA, 1272 nt
Organism: Stegostoma tigrinum
Lineage: Eukaryota; Metazoa; Chordata; Chondrichthyes; Orectolobiformes; Stegostomatidae
Exons: 3
Source: RefSeq, a predicted model, not a curated record